GAAUCAGAAAUAGAAAUGUUUCAUAUGAUGCAAAUAGUAAACAAUAAAGUGCCUACAUGCAGAGAUUUUAAAUUCUAGUUGAUAAAAAAUAAACAUAAUACACAGAAAAUUGUAUUAAAAAUUCAGCAAAUGACCUACAGUAUGAGGUGUAUCUUACUUUAAAUAACUUGCUCUAGACAGGCCCUCAGAAGAGAAAAGUUAAUCAGGAUCUUGAAAUAAAGAAAGAAGGAAACCAUGAAGAUAUCUAGAGAAGAGAGUGUCAGGUAGAGAAAAUAGCACAUGAAAUGGUAAUGUGACAGAAAUGGCUGACAGAAGAUGAAGAAAUCCCAGGGUGAAUAGAAAAAUAUUCCAGAGUAUGUACUGUCUUUGAUUAUACUGUAAGAAGUUUGGAUUUUAUUCUCAGAGAGAGGAGAAUCCAUUCGAAGCAUGAGCUUCAUAUAAUCCAUUUCUAUAUUAAAUAUAGCCCCUAGGCUUUUGGAUUAAAAAAUAGAGUGCAUGACAAACAUGAGGCAAACAGGUUUGGGGGUAAUUAAAUUAUAUCUGUGUCAGUAGCUGUGCUAUUCUAUUUAUUCAUAAAAUUUCUCAGAGUUUUUUUUUUUAAUUAUAGAUUCAGGGAUUACAUGUGCAGAUUUGUGGCAUGGAUAUAUUUUGUAAUGGUGGGACUUGGCUUCGAAUGUACCCAUCACUUCGAUAGUGAACACUGUACUCAAUAGAUCUCCAGGUGGAGAAGUUGAAAAGCAGUUGGAGAGUUGGAGAGAGAGUUUCUGCCUCAAAGAAAAA
Macaca mulatta (Rhesus monkey) is the source of this 780-nucleotide non-coding RNA. The record is from RefSeq and is a predicted model, not a curated record. NCBI's taxonomy places the organism in Eukaryota, Metazoa, Chordata, Mammalia, Primates, Cercopithecidae.